RNAcentral lists this ribosomal RNA (274 nucleotides) under uncultured bacterium. RNAcentral describes it as "partial 16S ribosomal RNA". It matches the Rfam family "Bacterial small subunit ribosomal RNA", at positions 523 to 796 of the family's 1533-position model. The record is from RNAcentral.
AUACAGAGGGUGCGAGCGUUAAUCGGAAUGACUGGGCGUAAAGAGCGUGUAGGUGGAUGUUCAAGUCAGAGGUGAAAUCCCCGGGCUCAACCUGGGAACUGCCUCUGAAACUGUGUAUCUAGAGUAUGGGAGAGGGAAGUGGAAUUUCCGGUGUAGCGGUGAAAUGCGUAGAUAUCGGAAGGAACACCAGUGGCGAAGGCGGCUUCCUGGCCUAAUACUGACACUGAGACGCGAAAGCGUGGGUAGCGAACAGGAUUAGAAACCCCGGUAGUCC